UUGGAUUCUUAACCUGCUGAACCACGACGGGGAAUCCAAGACGGCAUUUUUCAAAGGGUAUUUCGUGGAAGGGGAUAGAAAUUCUACAGGAGAAUGAUAGAGGAGAAUAUUCAAUUAAUUAUAUAACUAAUUAAUCUGAAAACAUGUUCAGUGGGCAAAUAUGUUUGGAAAUACUGGGUUCAUUAAUGCUAAAUGGGCUUCUUUACUGUAGUAAGUUGUUCUGAACUCUUAUAAUGGAAGCGGAGAAACCGAACUUGUGAAUGGAAAAUUUUUUCACAGGGACAUCGGUAUCUCAUAGCAUUGCAAUACAGUGGGCUUCCGAGAGUACUUAACCUGGACUCAGUCUCCCAUCUCUGCUUCUUACUGGGCAUCUGUUUUAUUCUCUGCUCUCUCCUUCCCUCACAUCCUAGCCUCCUAACCCUCUGUAGUCAUCAUGGUAGAAAAUGAAGUGAUGACAGGUGUCAGAGCUUUAUAUCUUACAGCUUCAGGCAUUAGAAAAACACUAGCCUCUCAGUUUCCUUCCCGAAUUCCCACCGAGUAAAACAGGCCUAACUUGAAGCAAUUACUCACCCGGGGACCAAUCAAAUGUGGCUUGUAGGUGGAGUCUGGGAAAGAUAUUGUGAUUGGCCAAACUAAGGUCAUGUGCUUACUUUUGGGCCAAUCAACUGCAGCCAAGAACGCGGUUGUUGAAUAAAACGGCUGCUCCGGGAGUAGCUACGUGAAGGGGUGAAAUGGGGCUAAAGGCUACUUGCUAGAGGAGACAAGGGGACUGGAGAGACAAAGCAGUGUGCCCAUGAUACAGAGGAGAGGCAACAUGGAUUUCCAAAAGAAGGCACAUUGUAUGCAGCUUUUCCCCAGAUAUAUUUGACCACAGACAGUCACUCUUGGAUGCCGUCCCUUCUGGGUAUUGAGUGUCAAGCUGGAACCUCAGCUUCUUGGGAGGAAGUGAAGAGGAAGAGGCUUGGGGAUCAGGCAGGGGCACAGGUGCCUACUCCAGGAAGCUAAAGAUGGUGGUUUGAGAGCACAGACCCUGGGCUCAGACUGCCCCUCAUGGAUCAAAGCUCUGAUUUUCAUCAGCUGCAUAACCCCUUGGAACCUUCUGUGGCCUCUCUGAGCCUCGUGUCUUCAUCUGGAAAGGAGUCAGCUGCAAUGAUACCUGUCUUUGGGACUGCUGAGUGGUUAAGCAAACGAAAGAACUAAAGCAUUAGAAUGAUGACAAAGAAAGAAGAAAAAAAUUCAGGAUGUGGCAUGUGUGGACAAUCCAGGCAUAGAUGGCCAUUGUUCUAGGAGGACACGUCGGGAAUGAACCAAGGGGACUAUUUCCUUUUGCCACCAGGCCCGAGCCCAGGGUGAAGGGGGAUCUUCUAAAGGACCCAGCCCUACACUGCCGACUCCAGGACCCAAGCCCACAAUGCAGUAUAAUCCUGUUUAAAGAACCACCACAGGAAGCCCAAUUCUGACUUAACCAGAAAACUGAACACAGAGAGCAGACCACAGUCCUACGGCUCUUAGGAAGAGAGAGACAUCUGCUGUCCAAGAUUAAGGUAUUUGCUCUUGGACCCCUAUGGGUUAUUUAUGGCUCCUGGAACAAACUGUCACACACUUAGUGAGUUAAGUUAACACACAUGGAUUGUCUUCAUUUCUGGAGGUCAGAAGUCCAGAAUGGACCUCAUGGGGUUAAGAUCAAGGGUGGGUAGGGCUGUGUUCCUGGUGGAGGCUGGAGAGAAGAAGUGUCUGUGUUCUUGCCUUUUCCAGCUUCUAGAAGCUGUCCAUGCUUAUUGGCUUGUGACCUCUUCCUCCCGUCUUUAAACUCACCCGUGGCCAGCAGGGUCUUCAUCGCAUCUCAUCACUCUGCUACUGACUCUUCUGCCUCCCUCUUCUAUAUCUAAGGGCCAUUAGGACCACGUGGGGCCUCCUUGGGUAAUUCAGGAAAAUCUCCCCAUCUCAAGGCCGGCUCAUUAGCAACCUUAACUUCCCUCUGCCAUGUAACGGAACAUGGAAGAGAUUCACAGGUUUCAGGGAUUGGAGUUGUACAUAUUUGAGCAGGAAGUGGGGGAGAUUAUGUGCUCUGACACAUCCUGUGAAAUAAGCUUCCCACUGCUCCAGAGCUGCACUGUCCAAUAUGGGAGCCACCAGCAGCAGUGACCACUGAAUCCUAGAAAUGGGACUAGUCCAUACUGACAUGUCCUGUUAAUACAAAAUACACCCUGGAUUUUGGAGACUUCGGGUUACAUAAUGUGGAGUUCCCAUUGUGCAGCAGCAGAAAUGAACCUCACUAGUAUCCAUGAGGAUGUGGGUUUGAUCCUGCAUUGCUGUGGCGUAGGCUGGCAGCUAUAGCUCUGAUUUGACCUCUAGCUUGGGAACUUCCAUAGGCCUCGGGUGAGUCCCUAAAAAUCAAAAGACAUAAGGAAUGUGUGUAUCUUAAUGAUUUUUGAAAAUCUGGUUACAAAUUUACUGGAAAUGAUAGUAUUUUAGAUAUACUGGUUUCAAAACAUAUAUCAUUAAAGCUAAUUUCCCCCCUUUUCAAGUUUUUUGUUAACGAGGCUACUAGAAAACUUUCUAUCACACAUGCUGUGGCUCCCCUUUCAUUUCUAGUGGACGGCACUGCUCCAAGCUAGCAGGGCAAUCUGUGGCAUCCACGCUUUGAGUAGACAGUAGUUUCAGGAGUGAGGGGAUCCUCAGCUUACAGCAGGGGGCGCUGUGAGGAACAGCUACUCUGGAGAUGCCAGGUUGAGUAGAGGAAGGAACUCAGCACUUAGGAGCCAGGCAGAGCCUGCUGGGACGUCCCAGCCUCAUGUGUGUGUCUGUGAGACAGAACUUGUUUUUCAAACUUGACUUGUUUCACAGGAGACGCCUAUGCCAAUGCCAGAAAAACUAGAACCAUCCCUGCUUACUCCUCAGACCUCUACAAAGGCUUUGCUUUUUCAAAGUCAAGAUAAUCCAUCCUGCAAGCCAUCUGCCAUGGAGGACACCAGGUCACUCACCCCUCUACCACACAGCCGAUGACAGCCAGUGUUCGUCACAACAGGUCCCAGUGGGAACAUCCUAAAGGUGUUUGUAAGCUGUUUGCACAGCCUGGGAAGACAUGAGGCUGGGCACCGGCUGGGGAAGGCUUGGGACAGCAGCCCUCCUGGCCUGAAGUUAAACUUUGGCUAUGAGGAGAUGAGACUGGCAGGUGCACAGGGAGUUCCCCCUCCAGACGGGGUGGCGAGGACCCAAGAGAAGAGAGGAGAGAAAGGGGUCGGAAUUUGUUUUCCAAGAGUUCCCAGAACCUCACUUUUCCAGCAUGCCAUCAGUGGUACCAGACAAGAGAUUCACAAGGAAAAAGAAAAUUUCAACAGAGCAACAACUGUCAAGUUUCCAGGGCAAUCUCCACCUUCAUAGCCUUUGCUAUCAUGCAGAACCCGUGCCCAGAAACCUGGCCUUGACUGUGACCACAGCAUACACCAAAGGCACACAGGCACGUUGCCGUCAGGGAAAUGAAGACAGUGCAGUGUGGGGAGGUGUGCGUGAUUGAAGGCAGCUUCCCACAGCUGUGAGCCAGGUAACAAGCUCAGUGAAGGCGUUGUCACGCUUUCAAACGCCUGAAAAGAGGAGCAAAGAGACAACAGAGGAAGAUGUUUUUGGUGUGAUCAAAGGGCAGUCGGAUCACCCCAGGGAGGGAAGUGGUUGGCGUGCCGUGCAUGUGUGGAGGGAAGUGACAGGUGCAAAUACAGGAGGGCACCACACAUUUCCUUACCACCCAGAAACCCAUUAAGCAGGAGGCAGCUGGCCAGGGAGUCAGAGGGCUGAAUAGCCCACUGACCUCCAAAAAUUAGCCUCCUUCCAUUUCCAACUCUUAAGGUUCUAUUUGCUUGGCUUAGUUUAUAUCUAGGGAAUCUCCAAGACUCUUUCAAGAAGAGACUUUUGCAUCCCUGUUAUCUAGAAAAAGGGUGAUGUUUUCUGUCCACUCUCCCUGAAAUGCCAUCUCAGACAUUAAGUUAACUGUAGCAAAGGAACUUUCUAAAUCCUUAUCAAAGGACUAUGGUCACCUGAAUGAAACUGUCUGGGCAUUCAGGAGCAAAUGACACAUGUAGUCUUCGGAAAUUGUUUUGCAAGGAAUACAGGUUUAUAUUAAAGCUCUGAAGCAAGUACAAUAAACGCUCCACAUCAUCUUAGAGAAUGCUUGCAAGGAUGCAUUUCAUUGACAUAUUUAGAGCAAAUUAGUCUAUUUGACAUUGUUUCUCCAAAUUGCAUCAUAUCAUUGCUUCAUUAAGAAUGCUCCAAUUAAGGGAAAGAAAGAAGUUUCUGUAGGGUAGCUAUCUGUACACAUUAGUCUGAGGCUUUCAAAUUAGAGACCAAAUCACAGGUCCCCGUUACCAUGAGAACCAGAGUGUUUCUCCGGCUGUUAAAAUUAUUAACUCGAAGAACAUGCAUCUUCUUAAACUCUGCCUGUUAUUUAUCUACUGUUCCAUGGGCUUGACUGUGCCUAGAGUGAACUCUAUUAAUCAUCAGCUGAAAAAAAGUGCACGGGCUGCAGGAGAGAGCAGCCGUGCCUUUCUUCCUGUCGAGAGCGGCAAGCAAUGGCAAUCCAUUUCCCCAUGUUGCUCCAUCUCUCUUGGAGGAUAGAAGCGAGGGACUGAGAAGCCCUGGAGUGAAGACAGGCUGGAGAAGCCCGAGAUGAUGCCCAGAGAUGAGCAAGACCAGCUGGCAGUGGCGUUCACACGGUGUGCCACUGCAGGGACAGGCGACACUGAUGAGUGACCAGAGGCCUCUGUCCACUUGCCAGAUGACCCUGAGCUCCGGUCCAACUCCCCAUCUAAAAGUGAAGCCUCGUCACAGUGAAGGCCUAGUCACUUACACUGCAGAGAAUGCACCCACUUCAUCUCCCACGCAGUGUGCACCGUAUCUCCGUUUUACAGAGAAAGAAACCAAGGCUUAGAAAAAUUCUACAACCUGCUCAAGAAGUCAAGCCAGCACAUGGAGAAACCAGGGCCUCCAAGUGAGAUCUUCUGUCUCUAAAAUCCCAUGCUUCCCACACCAAAACUUGCACACAGAGCGCAAGUUUUAUUUGUCAUUGCCAAAACUUGGAGGCAACCAAGGUGUCCUUCAGUAGGGGAAGGGAUGGAUACACUGUGGUCCAUCCUGACAAUGGAAUGUAAUUCAGUGCUAAAAAGAAACGAGCCGUCCAGCAAGCCAUCAAGAGGCAUGGGGGUGGGGGGGGACCUUAAAUACACGCUGCUAAGAAGCCAGUCUGAAAAGGCUACACGCUAUAUAAUUCCAGCUAAAUGACAAAACAAUGGAAUCAGUAAAAAGAUCAGUGGUUGCCAGGCAUUUGCAGAGACUUAGGGGUGAACAGGCAGAGUACAGAGAAUUUUUAGACCAGUGAAUAGACCCUAUGUGAUGCCAUAAUGGCAGAUACACGUUAUUAGACAUUUUUCUAAAUCCACAGAACCUACAAUUCUGAAAAGCAACUCUAAUGUAAACUACGGACUUUGGGUGAUUACAAUGUGUCAAGGUAGGUCCACCGAUUGUCACAAAGGUACCCCUCUGAUGGGAGAUGUUGACACAGGGGGAGGCUGUUCAUGGGUGGAAACAAGGGGGUGUAUGGGAAAUCACUGUACCUUCCCCUCAAUUUUGCUAUGAACCUGAAACUGCUCUAAAAAAAAUACAGACUUAAAAAAAAAUAUGCCAUGUGCCUUCCUUGUUAUCACCCUGCCAAAGAAUGAAGGCUAUUGCCAUUUAAGGAGAUGCAAGAAGAUGCACACAUGCUGUGAUGAGAAGGAGCAGGAGAAAUCAAGGCGUCAGAAGUGGGGCGGCGGGGCUGCUCUGCAGGAAGCAGGGUCCGAAGAGGUGUGGGACGGGGCACAGAGUCUCCUCAUCAAAGGCCCUGGCUGGGCUUCCACCCUCUGGCUCAGCUUGGUUAUGGUCAUUCGUUUCUUAAGUCUCACAGCGGCUAGUAAUACACUCUGCCUGGAACUGACUUGUCCUCUUAAGCAAUUUGUUUAUUCAGGUGUCACAUGGGGAGGGAGAAGGGUACCCAUCACUCUUGUGCACUGUGAUGUGGUCUCAUAAAGCAAACACACCAUGCUCCCAGAUCAAAGCAGAACCUCACCAGCAUCCCAGCGGUCCCGAGGUAACUUCUCUCCAUCACUACUUUUGCUCUGGUUCCCAAUACCAUACAUUAGUUUUGUCUGUUUGUUGAGCUUUUUAUAGAUGGAACUACACACUGGAUGUCCCCUUCCCAGCCUUUUAAAAAAAUGAAGUAUAGUUGAUUUACAGUGUUGGGUUAGUUUCAGGUGUACAGCAAAGUGAAUCAGUUA
Non-coding RNA from Sus scrofa (pig), 6302 nucleotides. The record is from RefSeq and is a predicted model, not a curated record. NCBI's taxonomy places the organism in Eukaryota, Metazoa, Chordata, Mammalia, Artiodactyla, Suidae.